This is a non-coding RNA of Podarcis lilfordi (Lilford's wall lizard), 69 nucleotides long. Lineage: Eukaryota; Metazoa; Chordata; Lepidosauria; Squamata; Lacertidae. The record is from the annotation of a GenBank genome assembly.
GAUGUAGCUCAGUGGUGGCGUAUCUGCUUCAUAUGUAGAUGAUUCCAGGUUUAAUCCCUGGCAUCUUCA